Molecule: non-coding RNA, 82 nt
Organism: Carassius carassius (crucian carp)
Lineage: Eukaryota; Metazoa; Chordata; Actinopteri; Cypriniformes; Cyprinidae
Source: the annotation of a RefSeq genome assembly
GUAGUCGUGGCCGAGAGGUUAAGGUGAUGGACUCCGAAUCCAUUGGGGUCUCCCUGCACAGGUUCGAAUCCUGCCGACUGCG